AAUAUCAAAGGUGAGCCAGUACAGGAUGGACCCGCGUCUGAUUAGCUAGUUGGUAAGGUAACGGCUUACCAAGGCGACGAUCAGUAGCCGACCUGAGAGGGUGAUCGGCCACAUUGGAACUGAGACACGGUCCAAACUCCUACGGGAGGCAGCAGUGGGGAAUAUUGCACAAUGGGCGAAAGCCUGAUGCAGCAACGCCGCGUGAGUGAUGAAGGCCUUCGGGUCGUAAAACUCUGUCCUCAAGGAAGAUAAUGACGGUACUUGAGGAGGAAGCCCCGGCUAACUACGUGCCAGCAGCCGCGGUAAUACGUAGGGGGCUAGCGUUAUCCGGAUUUACUGGGCGUAAAGGGUGCGUAGGCGGUCUUUCAAGUCAGGAGUGAAAGGCUACGGCUCAACCGUAGUAAGCUCUUGAAACUGGGAGACUUGAGUGCAGGAGAGGAGAGUGGAAUUCCUAGUGUAGCGGUGAAAUGCGUAGAUAUUAGGAGGAACACCAGUUGCGAAGGCGG
This 506-nucleotide ribosomal RNA is filed under the name Clostridioides difficile. RNAcentral describes it as "bacterial SSU rRNA". It matches the Rfam family "Bacterial small subunit ribosomal RNA", at positions 197 to 724 of the family's 1533-position model. Lineage: Bacteria; Bacillati; Bacillota; Clostridia; Peptostreptococcales; Peptostreptococcaceae. The record is from RNAcentral.